GACGAACGCUGGCGGCGUGCUUAACACAUGCAAGUCGAACGGAAAGGCCCUGCUUUUGUGGGGUGCUUGAGUGGCGAACGGGUGAGUAACACGUGAGUAACCUGCCCCUGACUUUGGGAUAACUUCAGGAAACUGGGGCUAAUACCGGAUAGGAGCUCCUGCUGCAUGGUGGGGGUUGGAAAGUUUCGGCGGUUGGGGAUGGACUCGCGGCUUAUUAGCUUGUUGGUGGGGUAGUGGCUUACCAAGGCUUCGACGGGUAGCCGGCCUGAGAGGGUGACCGGCCACAUUGGGACUGAGAUACGGCCCAGAGUCCUACGGGGGACAGCAGUGGGAAAUGUUGAACACUGGGCGGAAGCCGGAUGCAGCAGCGCCGCGUGCGGGAUGACGGCCUUCGGGUUGUAAACCGCUUUCGCCUGUGACGAGGCGUGAGUGACGGUAAUGGGUAAAGAAGCGCCGGCUAACUACGUG
RNAcentral lists this ribosomal RNA (468 nucleotides) under uncultured bacterium. RNAcentral's name for it is "partial 16S ribosomal RNA". It matches the Rfam family "Bacterial small subunit ribosomal RNA", at positions 28 to 507 of the family's 1533-position model. The record is from RNAcentral.